This 253-nucleotide ribosomal RNA is filed under the name uncultured bacterium. RNAcentral describes it as "partial 16S ribosomal RNA". It matches the Rfam family "Bacterial small subunit ribosomal RNA", at positions 524 to 776 of the family's 1533-position model. The record is from RNAcentral.
UACGUAGGGGGCAAGCGUUGUCCGGAUUUAUUGGGCGUAAAGAGCGUGUAGGCGGCUUGGUAGGUCCGCUGUGAAAACUCGAGGCUCAACCUCGAGAUGUCGGCGGAAACCAUUUGGCUAGAGUCCGGAAGAGGAAAGUGGAAUUCCUGGUGUAGCGGUGAAAUGCGCAGAUAUCAGGAAGAACACCCGUGGCGAAGGCGGCUUUCUGGGACGGUACUGACGCUGAGACGCGAAAGCGUGGGGAGCGAACAGG